AACCUAGCACACCUGCGGUGUGUACCUGCGGAAGGAUCAUUAUCGAGUUGCAAAACUCCAACCCUUUGUGAACAUACCUCAGUCGUUGCUUCGGCGGUGGACGGCCUGUUUUUCGGAACGGCCGGAAGCCGCCGGAGGUUCCAAACUCGUAUUUUUUAGUGUAUCUCUGAGCCUGAAAACAAAUAAUCAAAACUUUUAACAACGGAUCU
This 209-nucleotide unclassified non-coding RNA is filed under the name soil metagenome. RNAcentral's name for it is "partial contains 5.8S ribosomal RNA, internal transcribed spacer 2, and large subunit ribosomal RNA". The record is from RNAcentral.